RNAcentral lists this transfer RNA (77 nucleotides) under Abditibacteriota bacterium. RNAcentral's name for it is "tRNA-Pro". It matches the Rfam family "tRNA". From Rfam's summary of the family: Transfer RNA (tRNA) molecules are approximately 80 nucleotides in length. Lineage: Bacteria; Pseudomonadati; Abditibacteriota. The record is from RNAcentral.
CGGGAUGUAGCUCAGUUUGGUAGAGCGUUCGGUUCGGGAUCGAAAGGCCGAAGGUUCAAGUCCUUUCAUCCCGACCA